UACUUACAAAUGGGUAUAAGGAUUUGGAG
Molecule: non-coding RNA, 29 nt
Filed under: Rattus norvegicus (Norway rat)
Lineage: Eukaryota; Metazoa; Chordata; Mammalia; Rodentia; Muridae
Source: RNAcentral